GUCCACGCCGUAAACGUUGGGCACUAGGUGUGGGUCUCUAUCGACGGGAUCCGUGCCGUAGCUAACGCAUUAAGUGCCCCGCCUGGGGAGUACGGCCGCAAGGCUAAAACUCAAAGGAAUUGACGGGGGCCCGCACAAGCGGCGGAGCGUGUGGCUUAAUUCGAUGCAACGCGAAGAACCUUACCUGGGCUUGACAUGUACGGAAAAGCCGGUGAAAGCCGGUGUGCUUCGGCGUCGUACACAGGUGGUGCAUGGCUGUCGU
RNAcentral lists this ribosomal RNA (262 nucleotides) under uncultured bacterium. RNAcentral's name for it is "partial 16S ribosomal RNA". It matches the Rfam family "Bacterial small subunit ribosomal RNA", at positions 793 to 1055 of the family's 1533-position model. The record is from RNAcentral.